GAAAUAACAGAUGAAGGCCCGUAUGAAAUGACAGAUGAAAAUCCUUUUGAUUGCGUGCUUCACAAGUUGAAUGUAUUCAGAACCCUAAAAGUUACAUAAUUGAUUCUCAUGAUGCAAUCCAACGAGUACAAAACCGAAUUUCAAGGCUCAAAUCGUUUCAGAUAUUAAGGCGACAAAAAUGUACAAAUAUAGAAAUGUAAAAACUCUCUCUCUCUCUCUCUCUCUCUAACACUUAAGCCUACAACACUAUAUAUAUAGUAGUGCUAUCACAUACUCAAAAUGUAUAGUGUGACUAAGGCAUGAAAUACAACCUCAAUGUGCACACCGAAUAGAUAGAUAUAUGUAAUGUCUUCUACCUUACCUUCGAUAUAGAGUACGGACA
RNAcentral lists this long non-coding RNA (382 nucleotides) under Lactuca sativa (garden lettuce). RNAcentral describes it as "long non-coding RNA (LSAT_LNC007192)". Lineage: Eukaryota; Viridiplantae; Streptophyta; Magnoliopsida; Asterales; Asteraceae. The record is from RNAcentral.